UUCCUUGAUGUAAAAGGCUGGCUAGCGAUA
Molecule: non-coding RNA, 30 nt
Filed under: Mus musculus (house mouse)
Lineage: Eukaryota; Metazoa; Chordata; Mammalia; Rodentia; Muridae
Source: RNAcentral